AGAGUUCCUUUCUGGCUCAGGAUGAACGCUGGCGGCGUGCUUAACACAUGCAAGUCGAACGAAGCGUAAGAGACAGAAUACUUCGGUAGGAAGAUUUUUAUGACUGAGUGGCGGACGGGUGAGUAACGCGUGGGUAACCUGCCUCAUACAGGGGGAUAACAGUUAGAAAUGGCUGCUAAUACCGCAUAAGCCUGCUGUGCCGCAUGGCACAGCAGGGAAAACCACGGUGGUACAGGAUGGGCCCGCGUCUGAUUAGUUAGUUGGCAGGGUAACGGCCUACCAAGACAACGAUCAGUAGCCGGCUUGAGAGAGUGGACGGCCACAUUGGGACUGAGACACGGCCCAGACUCCUGCGGGAGGCAGCAGUGGGGAAUAUUGCACAAUGGGGGGAACCCUGAUGCAGCAAUGCCGCGUGGGUGAAGAAGCACUCCGGUGCGUAAAGCCCUGUCAGCAGGGAAGAAAAUGACAGUACCUGACCAAGAAGCCCCGGCUAACUACGUGCCAGCAGCCGCGGUAAUACGUAGGGGGCAAGCGUUAUCCGGAUUUACUGGGUGUAAAGGGAGCGCAGGCGGCGUGGCAAGUCAGAUGUGAAAACCCGGGGCCCAACCCCGGGAGUGCAUUUGAAACUGCCAUGCUGGAGUGCCGGAGAGGUAAGCGGAAUUCCUAGUGUAGCGGUGAAAUGCGUAGAUAUUAGGAGGAACACCAGUGGCGGAGGCGGCUUACUGGACGGUAACUGACGCUGAGGCUCGAAAGCGUGGGGAGCAAACAGGAUUAGAUACCCUGGUAGUCCACGCCGUAAACG
RNAcentral lists this ribosomal RNA (802 nucleotides) under uncultured bacterium. RNAcentral's name for it is "bacterial SSU rRNA". It matches the Rfam family "Bacterial small subunit ribosomal RNA", at positions 8 to 808 of the family's 1533-position model. The record is from RNAcentral.